CCUACGGGAGGCAGCAGUGGGGAAUAUUGCACAAUGGGCGGAAGCCUGAUGCAGCGACGCCGCGUGAGGGAUGACGGCCUUCGGGUUGUAAACCUCUUUCAGCAGGGACGAAGCGCAAGUGACGGUACCUGCAGAAGAAGCGCCGGCCAACUACGUGCCAGCAGCCGCGGUAAGACGUAGGGCGCGAGCGUUGUCCGGAUUUAUUGGGCGUAAAGAGCUCGUAGGCGGCUUGUCGCGUCGACUGUGAAAUCCCGCGGCUCAACCGCGGGUCUGCAGUCGAUACGGGCAGGCUAGAGUUCGGUAGGGGAGACUGGAAUUCCUGGUGUAGCGGUGAAAUGCGCAGAUAUCAGGAGGAACACCGAUGGCGAAGGCAGGUCUCUGGGCCGAUACUGACGCUGAGGAGCGAAAGCGUGGGGAGCGAACAGGAUUAGAUACCCUGGUAGUCCACGCUGUAAACGUUGGGCGCUAGGUGUGGGGGACCUCUCCGGUUCUCUGUGCCGCNGCACGCAUAGCGCCCGCCGUCGGGAGGUACGGCCGCGACGACGUAAACGUUAAAUAGAGUUAGACGGCGUGAGACGUGACCGACGGACGACGACGAGGGAGGUUAGG
This 609-nucleotide ribosomal RNA is filed under the name uncultured bacterium. RNAcentral describes it as "bacterial SSU rRNA". The stretch from base 1 to 520 matches the Rfam family "Bacterial small subunit ribosomal RNA", at positions 338 to 873 of the family's 1533-position model. The record is from RNAcentral.